UAGUCAUACGCUCGUCUCAAAGAUUAAGCCAUGCAUGUCUAAGUACAAGCCUCACUAAGGUGAAACCGCGAAUGGCUCAUUAAAUCACACCUAAUCUACUGGAUAGUUAACAGUUACUUGGAUAACUGCGGUAAUUCUGGAGCUAAUACAUGCACAAAGCCCCGAACUUACGUGAGGGGCGCUUUUAUUAGAUCAAAACCAAACGGCUUCGGCUGUAUCCUUGGUGACUCUGAAUAACUAUAGGCUGAUCGCAUGGCCUAGCGCCGGCGACAUAUCCUUCGAAGGUGUGCCCUAUCAACUGUCGACUGUGGCAUAGACGCCCACAGUGGUUUUGACGGGUAACGGGGAAUCAGGGUUCGAUUCCGGAGAGGGAGCCUUAAAAACGGCUACCACAUCUAAGGAAGGCAGCAGGCACGCAAAUUACCCAAUGACCGAAGGUCGAGGUAGUGACAAAAAAUAACGAUACGGGACUCAUCUGAGGCCCCGUAAUCGGAAUGAGUACACUUUAAAACCGUCCCCGAGGAUCUAUU
Molecule: ribosomal RNA, 530 nt
Filed under: uncultured eukaryote
Lineage: Eukaryota
Description: SSU rRNA
Rfam family: Eukaryotic small subunit ribosomal RNA
Source: RNAcentral